RNAcentral lists this transfer RNA (72 nucleotides) under Aedes aegypti (yellow fever mosquito). RNAcentral's name for it is "partial tRNA-OTHER". Lineage: Eukaryota; Metazoa; Arthropoda; Insecta; Diptera; Culicidae. The record is from RNAcentral.
AGCUCGGUAGCUUAAUUGGUAAACCGCUCGUCUAGCAUACAUGAGCCGUGGGCUCGAAUACCACCUGAGCAU